AGUGAACGCUGGCGGUAGGCCUAACACAUGCAAGUCGAACGGCAGCACAGUAAGAUCUUGCUCUUACGGGUGGCGACUGGCGGACGGGUGAGGAGUGCAUCGGAAUCUUCUUUUUCGUGGGGGAUAACGUAGGGCAACUUACGCUACUACCGCAUACGUUCUACGGGUGAAAGCAGGAGAUCUUCGGACCUUGCCCGAUUCAAUGAGCCGAUGUCGGAUUAGCUAGUUGGCUGGGUAAAGGCCCACCAAGGCGACGAUCCGUAGCUGGUCUGAGAGGAUGAUCGGCCACACUGGAACUGAGACACGGUCCAGACUCCUACGGGAGGCAGCAGUGGGGAAUAUUGGACAAUGGGCGCAAGCCUGACGCAGCAAUACCGCGUGGGUGAUGAAGGCCUUCGGGUUGUAAAGCCCUUUUGUUGGGAAAGAAAAGCAGCAGAUUAAUACCCCGCUGUUCUGACGGUACCCAAAGAGAAAGCACCGGCUAACUUCGUG
RNAcentral lists this ribosomal RNA (492 nucleotides) under uncultured bacterium. RNAcentral describes it as "partial 16S ribosomal RNA". It matches the Rfam family "Bacterial small subunit ribosomal RNA", at positions 29 to 507 of the family's 1533-position model. The record is from RNAcentral.